RNAcentral lists this ribosomal RNA (253 nucleotides) under uncultured bacterium. RNAcentral describes it as "partial 16S ribosomal RNA". It matches the Rfam family "Bacterial small subunit ribosomal RNA", at positions 524 to 776 of the family's 1533-position model. The record is from RNAcentral.
UACGAAGGGUGCAAGCGUUGUUCGGAAUUAUUGGGCGUAAAGGGUUCGUAGGCGGUAUCAUAAGUCAAGUGUGAAAUCCCCAAGCUUAACUUGGGACGUGCAUUUGAAACUGUGAUUCUUGAGUCAUAGAGAGGGUGGUGGAAUUGUUGGUGUAGGAGUGACAUCCGUAGAGAUCAACAGGAACAUCAGAGGCGAAAGCGGCCACCUGGCUAUGUACUGACGCUGAGGAACGAAAGCGUGGGGAGCAAACAGA